RNAcentral lists this ribosomal RNA (492 nucleotides) under uncultured bacterium. Its description in RNAcentral is "partial 16S ribosomal RNA". It matches the Rfam family "Bacterial small subunit ribosomal RNA", at positions 29 to 507 of the family's 1533-position model. The record is from RNAcentral.
AGUGAACGCUGGCGGUAGGCCUAACACAUGCAAGUCGAACGGCAGCACAGUAAGAGCUUGCUCUUACGGGUGGCGAGUGGCGGACGGGUGAGGAAUACAUCGGAAUCUACUUUUUCGUGGGGGAUAACGUAGGGAAACUUACGCUAAUACCGCAUACGACCUACGGGUGAAAGCAGGGGAUCUUCUGACCUUGCGCGAUUGAAUGAGCCGAUGUCGGAUUAGCUAGUUGGCGGGGUAAAGGCCCACCAAGGCGACGAUCCGCAGCUGGUCUGAGAGGAUGAUCAGCCACACUGGAACUGAGACACGGUCCAGGCUCCUACGGGAGGCAGCAGUGGGGAAUAUUGGACAAUGGGCGCAAGCCUGAUCCAGCCAUACCGCGUGGGUGAAGAAGGCCUUCGGGUUGUAAAGCCCUUUUGUUGGGAAAGAAAAGCAGCAGGUUAAUACCCCGCUGUUCUGACGGUACCCAAAGAAUAAGCACCGGCUAACUUCGUG